UGGUGGGCAUGCUUGAAAAGAAGUUAAUAAAAUAAUGGUGGAGCUUUUUAACUAAGGCAUAUCCUAAAAGUAUAUGCAAAUAUGAUACAAAAGGGUAGAGCAGCACUAGCAACAGACACUUCUGUCAUUGUAGCUUUGUUGAUUGGAAUCCCAGUGGGCUCUCCACAAAAUUCUUACCCAAAUCAAGAACAUCCAAUUAUGCUGACCUUUCACAUUCAAAUUCCAUCUUCCUGAUCCCACCUAACCAUUUAGGAUAACAUUAGCCCUAGGCUCUAGCUCAAUUGGCUUGAAUUUGAAUCCAAGUCCUGUGACUGACCACAUAUAGCUUCUGUAUUUUUCCAGGGAAAAGUCUUGCCUUGGCUUAUGAGCUAAGUUGCAAAGCGAUGAGGUACUCGAGGCGUCGGAACGACCACAUCACGACCAGAUUUUAUCAAGUUCUGACGAUCUUGGAUGGUUUUAUCAAACAAUCUGUUCUCAGGAUUUUCUGCAUAGCAAACAUAGUAGCAGCUCACACAAGCAUGUGGCAAUGUCAUAGCAAUCCUAGUCAAGAGGUAUCCAAUGAAGCCUGCCAAGAGGGAGAGAGUAGCUGUGAAAGGCUGGUGCACUUUAGCAGUCCAAGCAGCUACAACAAUAACACAAAUGGAGGCACUACAAACUCCAGUAAGGAAACAAAUUGAGCUGGUAAUGUCAGAAUCGACAAUGCGUUCCAUAUCUUGCCUCUGAAAUUGUGCCCAAGUAUCUUGUGAUGCCCGAACAAAACCUUUCCCAUAUGCAGCUAUCUGUACAAAGGCCCAGCCAUUGCCAUAUCUGAAGAUGGAGUUCAUGACUCCAAGACAGCAAUGAGCACAAGAAAACAUGAAUUCGUCUUCUCCUUCUAGCAAAUUCAGACCCCGAGCAAUGAUUCUUAGCGCUUCAAUUGCCGGUACAAAUAGAGAUCCUAGACAAGCACU
Molecule: unclassified non-coding RNA, 950 nt
Filed under: Hevea brasiliensis (rubber tree)
Lineage: Eukaryota; Viridiplantae; Streptophyta; Magnoliopsida; Malpighiales; Euphorbiaceae
Source: RNAcentral